UACGAAGGGGGCUAGCGUUGUUCGGAAUUACUGGGCGUAAAGCGCACGUAGGCGGCUCUGUAAGUUGGGGGUGAAAUCCCGAGGCUCAACCUCGGAAUUGCCUUCAAGACUGCAGGGCUUGAGUUCGGGAGAGGUGAGUGGAAUUCCUAGUGUAGAGGUGAAAUUCGUAGAGAUUAGGAAGAACACCAGUGGCGAAGGCGGCUCACUGGUCCGUUACUGACGCUGAGGUGCGAAAGCGUGGGGAGCAAACAGG
RNAcentral lists this ribosomal RNA (253 nucleotides) under uncultured bacterium. Its description in RNAcentral is "partial 16S ribosomal RNA". It matches the Rfam family "Bacterial small subunit ribosomal RNA", at positions 524 to 776 of the family's 1533-position model. The record is from RNAcentral.